GAAAAAGGAAGGCGGAGAGUGAAGGAAUGCCUCUCUGAAAACCCAAGGAGUCUGGAGCGCAGGAACGAAGGAAGUCUGCCCCAGAAACGUCCACUCCCUUUACUAACAUUAGAGCCUACUUCAGGACUCCAGUGUAUACAGAAGACCAGCUGAGACAGCCAGCCUUGGAGACUGACUACUGGAUUCUUAGACUUUCAUGGCCAGCCAUUGUUGGGUUAGCUGGACCACAGCCUCAAUAGAAAAAUAGUAAUACAACCAGGAUGGCCUCAAAUUUGCAUCAAAUCUCCCGCCUCUGCCACCUGAGUGUGACCCUGUAGUUGUGAGCCCCAACACAUGGCUACUGUCGGAGAAUGUGUGUUUCUUUUCUUUCUGACGGUUGGGGAUUGAACCUUGGGCCUGUGCUUACACGUGUUCUACAACUCAGAAGAAACACAUCUUUAGAUCAUCAUGGAAGAAAUCACCAAAGACUUCACAGGAUAAGGAAGAAAGCUGCCCAAAAGGCUCCAGAUGAAUGGUCAGGUGUCAAAUGCCCUUUUAUUUAUAAUGGUUUUGAGUUUCUUGAUAUCGGCCCUUUUCAUUUGGCCUAAGCUGGCCUUGGCUUCAAACUCUAUUCUUCUGCCUUAGUGUCCCAAGGGAUUUCUUACGGAUUAUAGGAAUAUUCUACCAUGCCUUCUUAAAUAUUUUCUUGACUGAAUUUGGAAAGAAAACAAGAUGUUAUUCAAUAAAGG
Microtus oregoni (creeping vole) is the source of this 728-nucleotide long non-coding RNA. RefSeq lists it as uncharacterized. The transcript is spliced from 4 exons. NCBI's taxonomy places the organism in Eukaryota, Metazoa, Chordata, Mammalia, Rodentia, Cricetidae. The record is from RefSeq and is a predicted model, not a curated record.